GAUGAACGCUGGCGGCGUGCCUAAUACAUGCAAGUCGAGCGAACAGACGAGGAGCUUGCUCCUCUGACGUUAGCGGCGGACGGGUGAGUAACACGUGGAUAACCGACCUAUAAGACUGGGAUAACUUCGGGAAACCGGAGCUAAUACCGGAUAAUAUAUUGAACCGCAUGGUUCAAUAGUGAAAGACGGUUUUGCUGUCACUUAUAGAUGGAUCCGCGCCGCAUUAGCUAGUUGGUAAGGUAACGGCUUACCAAGGCAACGAUGCGUAGCCGACCUGAGAGGGUGAUCGGCCACACUGGAACUGAGACACGGUCCAGACUCCUACGGGAGGCAGCAGUAGGGAAUCUUCCGCAAUGGGCGAAAGCCUGACGGAGCAACGCCGCGUGAGUGAUGAAGGUCUUCGGAUCGUAAAACUCUGUUAUUAGGGAAGAACAAAUGUGUAAGUAACUAUGCACGUCUUGACGGUACCUAAUCAGAAAGCCACGGCUAACUACUUG
RNAcentral lists this ribosomal RNA (497 nucleotides) under uncultured bacterium. RNAcentral describes it as "partial 16S ribosomal RNA". It matches the Rfam family "Bacterial small subunit ribosomal RNA", at positions 28 to 507 of the family's 1533-position model. The record is from RNAcentral.